AAACAUUUAUAAAAUAUAGUAAAAUUUUAGAUUAGGGUGAAUUUGAGUAAAUUUAAAAAUGUUUCUUAAAUGUUAAUAAAAAAGAAAUGAAAAGAAAAAAAGAAAAAGGCUUUUGAGUCAAGUCAAACACUAUCUCCAUAAAAGGGACCCACAUAAGAAAGCUUACUCACCGUCCAUCGCCACUCAUCAAUCCUUAUAUAAACAACAACUACAAUUUUCAAACCAAACAGAGAGAUGCCACACACAGAAAUGCCGAAUCUAUAUUCUCCGCCCAUGCUCAACCCCCGGAUUUCUUCUUUCCUUUUAAUCAUCUUCUUAAUUGCCGCUCCACGCUUCUUUCUCUAUGUAGAUUGCAGACCCCUCCGCCCCGGUUCACCCAUAGAUCGCCACCAUGUUCAUGAUAAUGCCUCUGCUCUUCCCCACAACGCCCCCCCGGAAACACAAAAAGCAGCAACGGCGCCUAUAGAUUCCGGUGCCCCGCCGAUCGGAGAUGAAGGCGGUGGCGUAGCGUUUACUAUGGCUUCGGGACCCAGCAGAAAGGGUGCUGGCCAUUAAACCGAUGGAACAUAUUCUUUGCCCAUUUCAUAUUGCCAGAUCUAAUUUUUUGGCUUUAUUCUUUGGGGUUGUAACUUCACUUGUAAUAUGUACAUAACAUACAUACAAUACAAGCUUCUUACUAUACAUAUUUUUUUUUGUCCCCCUCAUAUAGAGGUUUUGGAUUUUAGUCCUUAAAUUUUUUUAAUAUCCACAUUUUGGGAUUACUUUUGGACUAAGGUAAUUGUUGGAGAAUUUAGCGCCUCGAUAAAUGUCUUAGAUAUUAUAAUUAAGCUCACCUUCGAGUUUCAGAGCUUAUAAAAGUUUUGUAUUUGAGCUCCUGCAUUUGCAUUAAUAUUUAUUUUCACUCGUGGUUCUUUACUUUCAAUUUCAUGGAAAUGCUAAAUAUUAUAAUUAUU
RNAcentral lists this long non-coding RNA (953 nucleotides) under Cucumis sativus (cucumber). RNAcentral's name for it is "long non-coding RNA (CSAT_LNC002480)". The record is from RNAcentral. Lineage: Eukaryota; Viridiplantae; Streptophyta; Magnoliopsida; Cucurbitales; Cucurbitaceae.